This 594-nucleotide ribosomal RNA is filed under the name Triticum aestivum (bread wheat). Its description in RNAcentral is "partial small subunit ribosomal RNA". The record is from RNAcentral. Lineage: Eukaryota; Viridiplantae; Streptophyta; Magnoliopsida; Poales; Poaceae.
CUGGCCUUCUGUCAAAGGUCCGGCAGUUCCCAUUUUUGGCAGUCGGUCAUCCAACUGCUCCCCAUCCUACGCAUUGGGACUUCCAUCUUAGUUGGAUCAGGUGCGGCGACUUUGUUCUGGUUUGACCGAUGGGCGGGAGACACCCCCUUUGCGGCUCGCUUCCCCGACCUCUUCUCCAUCGCCGUCGCCCCCUCGAUCUCUGUAGAGAGGGCCCUUAUUGACUUAGGGUGCCUCGCUUUCCGGAGGCCAUUUGGGCCUCCGGAAGCUGCCGCUUGGCAGGAGCUGCUUGAUUGCGUCGCUCUCCACGAGCCGGUAAUGGAUCCUGGCCCGGAUGAGGUUCGGUGGCGUCUUGAGCCUUCGGGCCAAUUCUCCACCAAGUCCCUCUAUAUGGCCAUCGCCCCCUCCUCCACCCCUUCCCCCUUCGCAGUGUGGUCCAUCCGCCUGCCACUGAAAAUCCGGAUAUUCAUGUGGCAACGGAUCUGCGGGCGGAUCCCGUAUGGGUGGAGGUUCGCAGGCGCAAUGGCCCUGGUGCUAGCCUCUGCCCACUGUGUGGUACCCCCGAAGAUUCGAACCACAUCUUCUUCUCCUGUGUGA